This 492-nucleotide ribosomal RNA is filed under the name uncultured bacterium. RNAcentral's name for it is "partial 16S ribosomal RNA". It matches the Rfam family "Bacterial small subunit ribosomal RNA", at positions 29 to 507 of the family's 1533-position model. The record is from RNAcentral.
AGUGAACGCUGGCGGUAGGCCUAACACAUGCAAGUCGAACGGCAGCACAGUAAGAGCUUGCUCUUACGGGUGGCGAGUGGCGGACGGGUGAGGAAUACAUCGGAAUUUACUUUUUCGUGGGGGGUAACGUAGGGAAACUUACGCUAAUACCGCAUACGACCUACGGGUGAAAGCAGGGGAUCUUCGGACCUUGCGCGAUUGAAUGAGCGGAUGUCGGAUUAGCUAGUUGGCGGGGUAAAGGCCCACCAAGGCGACGAUCCGUAGCUGGUCUGAGAGGAUGAUCAGCCACACUGGAACUGAGACACGGUCCAGACUCCUACGGGAGGCAGCAGUGGGGAAUAUUGGACAAUGGGCGCAAGCCUGAUCCAGCCAUACCGCGUGGGUGAAGAAGGCCUUCGGGUUGUAAAGCCCUUUUGUUGGGAAAGAAAAGCAGCAGGUUAAUACCCCGCUGUUCUGACGGUACCCAAAGAAUAAGCACCGGCUAACUUCGUG